RNAcentral lists this ribosomal RNA (490 nucleotides) under uncultured bacterium. RNAcentral's name for it is "partial 16S ribosomal RNA". It matches the Rfam family "Bacterial small subunit ribosomal RNA", at positions 30 to 507 of the family's 1533-position model. The record is from RNAcentral.
AUUGAACGCUGGCGGCAGGCCUAACACAUGCAAGUCGAACGGUAACAGGAAGCAGCUUGCUGCUUUGCUGACGAGUGGCGGACGGGUGAGUAAUGUCUGGGAAACUGCCUGAUGGAGGGGGAUAACUACUGGAAACGGUAGCUAAUACCGCAUAACGUCGCAAGACCAAAGAGGGGGACCUUAGGGCCUCUUGCCAUCGGAUGUGCCCAGAUGGGAUUAGCUAGUAGGUGGGGUAACGGCUCACCUAGGCGACGAUCCCUAGCUGGUCUGAGAGGAGGACCAGCCACACUGGAGCUGAGACACGGUCCAGACUCCUACGGGAGGCAGCAGUGGGGAAUAUUGCACAAUGGGCGCAAGCCUGAUGCAGCCAUGCCGAGUGUAUGAAGAAGGCCUUCGGGUUGUAAAGUACUUUCAGCGGGGAGGAAGGGAGUAAAGUUAAUACCUUUGCUCAUUGACGGUACCCGCAGAAGAAGCACCGGCUAACUCCGUG